GACGAACGCUGGCGGCGUGCUUAACACAUGCAAGUCGAACGGAAAGGCCCUGCUUUUGUGGGGUGCUCGAGUGGCGAACGGGUGAGUAACACGUGAGUAACCUGCCCUUGACUUUGGGAUAACUUCAGGAAACUGGGGCUAAUACCGGAUAGGAGCUCCUGCUGCAUGGUGGGGGUUGGAAAGUUUCGGCGGUUGGGGAUGGACUCGCGGCUUAUCAGCUUGUUGGUGGGGUAGUGGCUUACCAAGGCUUUGACGGGUAGCCGGCCUGAGAGGGUGACCGGGCACAAUGGGACUGAGAUACGGCCCAGACUCCUACGGGAGGCAGCAGUGGGGAAUAUUGCACAAUGGGCGGAAGCCUGAUGCAGAGACGCCGCGUGCGGGAUGACGGCCUUCGGGUUGUAAACCGCUUUCGCCUGUGACGAAGCGUGAGUGACGGUAAUGGGUAAAGAAGCACCGGCUAACUACGUG
This 468-nucleotide ribosomal RNA is filed under the name uncultured bacterium. RNAcentral's name for it is "partial 16S ribosomal RNA". It matches the Rfam family "Bacterial small subunit ribosomal RNA", at positions 28 to 507 of the family's 1533-position model. The record is from RNAcentral.